Molecule: ribosomal RNA, 2643 nt
Filed under: Escherichia coli
Lineage: Bacteria; Pseudomonadati; Pseudomonadota; Gammaproteobacteria; Enterobacterales; Enterobacteriaceae
Description: bacterial LSU rRNA
Rfam family: Bacterial large subunit ribosomal RNA
Source: RNAcentral
ACUAUCAUUAACUGAAUCCAUAGGUUAAUGAGGCGAACCGGGGGAACUGAAACAUCUAAGUACCCCGAGGAAAAGAAAUCAACCGAGAUUCCCCCAGUAGCGGCGAGCGAACGGGGAGCAGCCCAGAGCCUGAAUCAGUGUGUGUGUUAGUGGAAGCGUCUGGAAAGGCGCGCGAUACAGGGUGACAGCCCCGUACACAAAAAUGCACAUGCUGUGAGCUCGAUGAGUAGGGCGGGACACGUGGUAUCCUGUCUGAAUAUGGGGGGACCAUCCUCCAAGGCUAAAUACUCCUGACUGACCGAUAGUGAACCAGUACCGUGAGGGAAAGGCGAAAAGAACCCCGGCGAGGGGAGUGAAAAAGAACCUGAAACCGUGUACGUACAAGCAGUGGGAGCACGCUUCGGCGUGUGACUGCGUACCUUUUGUAUAAUGGGUCAGCGACUUAUAUUCUGUAGCAAGGUUAACCGAAUAGGGGAGCCGAAGGGAAACCGAGUCUUAACUGGGCGUUAAGUUGCAGGGUAUAGACCCGAAACCCGGUGAUCUAGCCAUGGGCAGGUUGAAGGUUGGGUAACACUAACUGGAGGACCGAACCGACUAAUGUUGAAAAAUUAGCGGAUGACUUGUGGCUGGGGGUGAAAGGCCAAUCAAACCGGGAGAUAGCUGGUUCUCCCCGAAAGCUAUUUAGGUAGCGCCUCGUGAAUUCAUCUCCGGGGGUAGAGCACUGUUUCGGCAAGGGGGUCAUCCCGACUUACCAACCCGAUGCAAACUGCGAAUACCGGAGAAUGUUAUCACGGGAGACACACGGCGGGUGCUAACGUCCGUCGUGAAGAGGGAAACAACCCAGACCGCCAGCUAAGGUCCCAAAGUCAUGGUUAAGUGGGAAACGAUGUGGGAAGGCCCAGACAGCCAGGAUGUUGGCUUAGAAGCAGCCAUCAUUUAAAGAAAGCGUAAUAGCUCACUGGUCGAGUCGGCCUGCGCGGAAGAUGUAACGGGGCUAAACCAUGCACCGAAGCUGCGGCAGCGACGCUUAUGCGUUGUUGGGUAGGGGAGCGUUCUGUAAGCCUGUGAAGGUGUGCUGUGAGGCAUGCUGGAGGUAUCAGAAGUGCGAAUGCUGACAUAAGUAACGAUAAAGCGGGUGAAAAGCCCGCUCGCCGGAAGACCAAGGGUUCCUGUCCAACGUUAAUCGGGGCAGGGUGAGUCGACCCCUAAGGCGAGGCCGAAAGGCGUAGUCGAUGGGAAACAGGUUAAUAUUCCUGUACUUGGUGUUACUGCGAAGGGGGGACGGAGAAGGCUAUGUUGGCCGGGCGACGGUUGUCCCGGUUUAAGCGUGUAGGCUGGUUUUCCAGGCAAAUCCGGAAAAUCAAGGCUGAGGCGUGAUGACGAGGCACUACGGUGCUGAAGCAACAAAUGCCCUGCUUCCAGGAAAAGCCUCUAAGCAUCAGGUAACAUCAAAUCGUACCCCAAACCGACACAGGUGGUCAGGUAGAGAAUACCAAGGCGCUUGAGAGAACUCGGGUGAAGGAACUAGGCAAAAUGGUGCCGUAACUUCGGGAGAAGGCACGCUGAUAUGUAGGUGAAGUCCCUCGCGGAUGGAGCUGAAAUCAGUCGAAGAUACCAGCUGGCUGCAACUGUUUAUUAAAAACACAGCACUGUGCAAACACGAAAGUGGACGUAUACGGUGUGACGCCUGCCCGGUGCCGGAAGGUUAAUUGAUGGGGUUAGCCGCAAGGCGAAGCUCUUGAUCGAAGCCCCGGUAAACGGCGGCCGUAACUAUAACGGUCCUAAGGUAGCGAAAUUCCUUGUCGGGUAAGUUCCGACCUGCACGAAUGGCGUAAUGAUGGCCAGGCUGUCUCCACCCGAGACUCAGUGAAAUUGAACUCGCUGUGAAGAUGCAGUGUACCCGCGGCAAGACGGAAAGACCCCGUGAACCUUUACUAUAGCUUGACACUGAACAUUGAGCCUUGAUGUGUAGGAUAGGUGGGAGGCUUUGAAGUGUGGACGCCAGUCUGCAUGGAGCCGACCUUGAAAUACCACCCUUUAAUGUUUGAUGUUCUAACGUUGACCCGUAAUCCGGGUUGCGGACAGUGUCUGGUGGGUAGUUUGACUGGGGCGGUCUCCUCCUAAAGAGUAACGGAGGAGCACGAAGGUUGGCUAAUCCUGGUCGGACAUCAGGAGGUUAGUGCAAUGGCAUAAGCCAGCUUGACUGCGAGCGUGACGGCGCGAGCAGGUGCGAAAGCAGGUCAUAGUGAUCCGGUGGUUCUGAAUGGAAGGGCCAUCGCUCAACGGAUAAAAGGUACUCCGGGGAUAACAGGCUGAUACCGCCCAAGAGUUCAUAUCGACGGCGGUGUUUGGCACCUCGAUGUCGGCUCAUCACAUCCUGGGGCUGAAGUAGGUCCCAAGGGUAUGGCUGUUCGCCAUUUAAAGUGGUACGCGAGCUGGGUUUAGAACGUCGUGAGACAGUUCGGUCCCUAUCUGCCGUGGGCGCUGGAGAACUGAGGGGGGCUGCUCCUAGUACGAGAGGACCGGAGUGGACGCAUCACUGGUGUUCGGGUUGUCAUGCCAAUGGCACUGCCCGGUAGCUAAAUGCGGAAGAGAUAAGUGCUGAAAGCAUCUAAGCACGAAACUUGCCCCGAGAUGAGUUCU